Molecule: ribosomal RNA, 612 nt
Filed under: Williopsis saturnus
Lineage: Eukaryota; Fungi; Ascomycota; Saccharomycetes; Phaffomycetales; Wickerhamomycetaceae
Description: eukaryotic LSU rRNA
Rfam family: Eukaryotic large subunit ribosomal RNA
Source: RNAcentral
GCAUAUCAAAAGCGGAGGAAAAGAAACCAACAGGGAUUGCCUCAGUAACGGCGAGUGAAGCGGCAAAAGCUCAAAUUUGAAAUCUGGUACCUUUGGUGCCCGAGUUGUAAUUUGAAGAUAGUUUUCUGGUGCUGGCCCUUGUCUAUGUUCCUUGGAACAGGACGUCACAGAGGGUGAGAAUCCCGUCUGGCGGGGUGUCCAGUGCUUUGUAGAUUUCUAUCGACGAGUCGAGUUGUUUGGGAAUGCAGCUCUAAGUGGGUGGUAAAUUCCAUCUAAAGCUAAAUAUUGGCGAGAGACCGAUAGCGAACAAGUACAGUGAUGGAAAGAUGAAAAGAACUUUGAAAAGAGAGUGAAAAAGUACGUGAAAUUGUUGAAAGGGAAGGGUAUUAGAUCAGACUUGGUGUUUUGUGAUUAUCUUCCCUUCUUGGGUUGUGCACUCGCAUUUCACUGGGCCAGCAUCGGUUCGGGUGGUAAGAUAAUGACAUUGGAACGUGGCACUACCUUCGGGUGGUGUGUUAUAGCCCUUGUUGAUGUUGCCUACCUGGACCGAGGACUGCGGCUUUUGCCUAGGAUGCUGGCGUAAUGAUCUAACACCGCCCGUCUUGAAACACG